This 492-nucleotide ribosomal RNA is filed under the name uncultured bacterium. Its description in RNAcentral is "partial 16S ribosomal RNA". It matches the Rfam family "Bacterial small subunit ribosomal RNA", at positions 29 to 507 of the family's 1533-position model. The record is from RNAcentral.
AGUGAACGCUGGCGGUAGGCCUAACACAUGCAAGUCGAACGGCAGCACACUAAGAGCUUGCUAUUACUGGUGGCGAGUGGCGGACGGGUGAGGAAUACAUCGGAAUCUACUUUUUCGUUGGGGAUAACGUUGGGAAACUUACGCUAAUACCGCAUACGACCUACGGGUGACAGCAGGGGCUCUUCGGACCUUGCGCGAUUGAAUGAGCCGAUGUCGGAUUAGCUAGUUGGCGGGGUAAAGGCCCACCAAGGCGACGAUCCGUAGCUGGUCUGAGAGGAUGAUCAGCCACACUGGAACUGAGACACGGUCCAGACUCCUACGGGAGGCAGCAGUGGGGAAUAUUGGACAAUGGGCGCAAGCCUGAUCCAGCCAUACCGCGUGGGUGAAGAAGGCCUUCGGGUUGUAAAGCCCUUUUGUUGGGAAAGAAAAGCAGCAGGUUAAUACCCCGCUGUUCUGACGGUACCCAAAGAAUAAGCACCGGCUAACUUCGUG